GAAAUGCGAUAAUUAAUGUGAACUGCAGAAUUCAGUGAAUCAUCGAGUCUUUGAACGCACAUUGCGCCCCCUGGUAUUCCGGGGGGCAUGCCUGUCCGAGCGUCAUUGCUGCCCUCAAGCACGGCUUGUGUGUUGGGCUUCCGUCCCUGGCAACGGGGACGGGCCCAAAAGGCAGUGGCGACACCAUGUCUGGUCCUCGAGCGUAUGGGGCUUUGUCACCCGCUCCCGUAGGUCCAGCUGGCAGCUAGCCUCGCAACCAAUCUUUUUAACCAGGUUGACCUCGGAUCAGGUAGGGAUACCCGCUGAACUUAAGC
Molecule: unclassified non-coding RNA, 314 nt
Filed under: plant metagenome
Description: partial contains 5.8S ribosomal RNA, internal transcribed spacer 2, and large subunit ribosomal RNA
Rfam family: 5.8S ribosomal RNA (bases 1-105)
Source: RNAcentral